This 403-nucleotide ribosomal RNA is filed under the name uncultured bacterium. Its description in RNAcentral is "bacterial SSU rRNA". It matches the Rfam family "Bacterial small subunit ribosomal RNA", at positions 355 to 774 of the family's 1533-position model. The record is from RNAcentral.
UAGGGAAUAUUGCAAAAUGGGCGAAAGCCCGAUGCAGCAACGCCGCGUGGGCGAUGAAGGCCUUCGGGUCGUAAAGCCCUUUUUGAGGGGAUGAGGAAGGACAGUACCCUCAGAAUAAGCCUCGGCUAACUACGUGCCAGCAGCCGCGGUAAAACGUAGGAGGCGAGCGUUAUCCGGAUUUACUGGGCGUAAAGCGCGUGCAGGCGGAUUGGAGAGUUGGAUGUGAAAGCUCCCGGCUUAACUGGGAGAGGUCGUUCAAUACUUCCAGUCUUGAGUGCAGUAGAGGGAAGUGGAAUUCCGGGUGUAGUGGUGAAAUGCGUAGAUAUCCGGAGGAACACCAGUGGCGAAAGCGGCUUCCUGGACUGUAACUGACGCUGAGGCUCGAAAGCGUGGGGAGCAAACA